Molecule: ribosomal RNA, 468 nt
Filed under: uncultured bacterium
Lineage: Bacteria
Description: partial 16S ribosomal RNA
Rfam family: Bacterial small subunit ribosomal RNA
Source: RNAcentral
GACGAACGCUGGCGGCGUGCUUAACACAUGCAAGUCGAACGGAAAGGCCCUGCUUUUGUGGGGUGCUCGAGUGGCGAACGGGUGAGUAACACGUGAGUAACCUACCCUUGACUUUGGGAUAACUUCAGGAAACUGGGGCUAAUACCGGAUAGGAGCUCCUGCUGCAUGGUGGGGGUUGGAAAGUUUCGGCGGUUGGGGAUGGACUCGCGGCUUAUCAGCUUGUUGGUGGGGUAGUGGCUUACCAAGGCUUUGACGGGUAGCCGGCCUGAGAGGGUGACCGGCCACUUUGGGACUGAGAUACGGCCCAGACUCCUACGGGAGGCAGCAGUGGGGAAUAUUGCACAAUGGGCGGAAGCCUGAUGCAGCAACGCCGCGUGCGGGAUGACGGCCUUCGGGUUGUAAACCGCUUUCGCCUGUGACGAAGCGUGAGUGACGGUAAUGGGUAAAGAAGCACCGGCUAACUACGUG